Molecule: ribosomal RNA, 645 nt
Filed under: Xylodon flaviporus
Lineage: Eukaryota; Fungi; Basidiomycota; Agaricomycetes; Hymenochaetales; Schizoporaceae
Description: eukaryotic LSU rRNA
Rfam family: 5.8S ribosomal RNA (bases 242-395)
Source: RNAcentral
GGGUGACUGCGGAGGUCAUUACUGAGUUUUGAAGUGGGCUUGAUGCUGGCAUCUUUUUGAUGCAUGUGCUCAGCCCCGCUCUCAAAUCCACUCAACACCUGUGCACUUUCAAAGUUGUAGUCCUCCGUAAUGGGAGUCGCAAGUCUUUUUUGACUUGCUGGGACUGCGCUUUGCCAUUUAUCACAAACGAUAUUCAUUGUUUUGUAGAAUGUCUAGCCUCAUUGUAGGUGAAACUUAAUACAACUUUCAACAACGGAUCUCUUGGCUCUCGCAUCGAUGAAGAACGCAGCGAAAUGCGAUAAGUAAUGUGAAUUGCAGAAUUCAGUGAAUCAUCGAAUCUUUGAACGCACCUUGCGCUCCUUGGUAUUCCGAGGAGCAUGCCUGUUUGAGUGUCGUGAAAUUAUCAACUCCUAUUCUUUAUUGAAUGGUGAGCUUGGAUUUGGAGAUUGCUGGUGAAAAUCGGCUUCUCUUGAAUGAAUUAGCUGGAAUUUGAUUCGCAGCAUAUAUGCGGUGUGAUAAUGUCGUCACUGUGUAGCUCGGAUUGUCUGGCUUCUAAUCGUCUUUCAUGGACAAUUUGAUCAUUUUGACCUCAAAUCAGGUAGGACUACCCGCUGAACUUAAGCAUAUCAAAAAGGGGGGGAGAAA